AGUGAACGUUGGCGGCGUGGAUUAGGCAUGCAAGUCGAGCGAGAACCGUAGCAAUACGGGGACAGCGGCGAAAGGGACAGUAAUGUGUAGGUACCUACCCCGGGGUCUGGGAUAGCUGCGGGAAAUUGCAGGUAAUACCGGAUAAUGUCUUCGGACCAAAGGUGUGAUUCCACCUUGGGAGGGGCCUGCAUCCUAUUAGCUUGUUGGCGGGGUAACGGCCCACCAAGGCAACGAUGGGUAGCGGGUGUGAGAGCACGACCCGCGUCAUUGGGACUGAGAUACUGCCCAGACACCUACGGGUGGCUGCAGUCGAGGAUCUUCGGCAAUGGGCGAAAGCCUGACCGAGCGACGCCGCGUGCGGGAUGAAGGCCUUCGGGUUGUAAACCGCUGUCGUAGAGGAGGAAAUGCAGGAGGCUUCUCCCUUCUGUUUGACCUAUUCUAGGAGGAAGGACGGGCUAAGUUCGUGCCAGCCGCCGCGGUAA
This 482-nucleotide ribosomal RNA is filed under the name uncultured bacterium. Its description in RNAcentral is "partial 16S ribosomal RNA". It matches the Rfam family "Bacterial small subunit ribosomal RNA", at positions 28 to 523 of the family's 1533-position model. The record is from RNAcentral.